CAUUAGAUAACUAAAAGUUAGUAUUGGAAUUUUAAACCAUUAAAUAAUAGUUUAACGUCUAUUUCUAAUGA
This 71-nucleotide transfer RNA is filed under the name Ptiliidae sp. BMNH 1274724. Its description in RNAcentral is "tRNA-Lys". The record is from RNAcentral. Lineage: Eukaryota; Metazoa; Arthropoda; Insecta; Coleoptera; Ptiliidae.